This 446-nucleotide long non-coding RNA is filed under the name Setaria italica (foxtail millet). RNAcentral's name for it is "long non-coding RNA (SITA_LNC000673)". Lineage: Eukaryota; Viridiplantae; Streptophyta; Magnoliopsida; Poales; Poaceae. The record is from RNAcentral.
GGCAGUGGCUGUUGACCCAUCCUUCCUCGGCCAUCUGGAAAAGAUCCGGGGCACAAAUUAGUUUUUCAAUAGAGCAGAGGUAGGAAGAAAUUUUGUAAUUCUUUUGUUUAGGUCAAAAAGGGCUAAUCCGGUCCUAAGGUCGCGUCCUACAGCCAACGACGGCUCUGAUACCACCUGAAGCGUCCCCACAUAAGUAGAGACUAAAUGUGAUACAAAUAUCAGUCCCAGGAGGCUGAUAACACAUUUAUUCGACAGAUAAUUCAGUUACCGUACAACUCCCGAGGGAGUGGGCGUGAAAGCCACGCAACGAUAAACAGUAAAUAGAUAACGGCGGCUAACCAAGCGACUGCCAAAAGACAGCACUCGGGACUACACGGCAGCAGCAGCAUCUUGGGCAGGGCAACACCACAGGCAGCGUCGGGUGCGGACACAACCUCUACUCGAGG